CCGCCCCGAAUUGUAGUCUAGAAAGGCGCCAUCGGCCGCGCCCGCCGCUCAAAUCCCUUGGAACAGGGUAUCGGAGAAGGUGAGAAUCCUGUACCGUGGUGGUCCGCGGCCGCACGAUGCGCCCUUGCAGAGUCGGGUUGCUUGGGAUUGCAGCUUGAAUUGGGUGGUAAAUUCCAUCUAAAGCUAAAUAUUGGCUCAUGACCGAUAGCGAACAAGUACCGUGAGGGAAAGAUGCAAAGAACUUUGAAAAGAGAGUUAAAGAGUGCUUGAAAUUGGCAGGAGGAAACCCGUUUGCACCCGGGCUUCGCGCCGUCGACUCAGCCGUCUCGAAGCGGUGCACUUUGUCGGCGCGGGUCCGCCGCGUCUGGUCGCGCGUCAAAAUCGCCGGGGGGGCUUCGGUGAGCCCGGACAUGUCGCGCGGUCGGCCUCGUCGGACGGAACGGGUGCAACCGACCCGUCUAGAAACACGGACCAAGGAGUCUGACACGGAUGCGAGUACCCGGGUGGCAAGCCCGCGUGCGCAAUGAAAGUGAAGGGCGUGCCCCGCCAACCGACCUUGAUCUUCUGUGAAGGGUUUGAGUGGAGCACAUCUGUCGGGACCCGAAAGAUGGUGAACUAUGCCUGAGGAGGGUGAAGCCAGAGGAAACUCUGGUGGAGGCUCGUAGCGAUACUGACGUGCAAAUCGUUCGUCGAACUUGGGUAUAGGGGCGAAAGACUAAUCGAACCAUCUAGUAGCUGGUUCCCUCCGAAGUUUCCCUCAGGAUAGCUUGGACGCAAGGGUUUUGU
This 786-nucleotide ribosomal RNA is filed under the name Haptophyta environmental samples. RNAcentral's name for it is "eukaryotic LSU rRNA". It matches the Rfam family "Eukaryotic large subunit ribosomal RNA", at positions 133 to 1004 of the family's 3401-position model. Lineage: Eukaryota; Haptophyta. The record is from RNAcentral.